GUGCUCAUAUGCAUCACUUCAGCUGACAGUGCUCUGGUAGGAGCUAGCAGCAGAAUUAUUUCAGUGAAGGACCUGUGGGUGUUGAAGACCAGAGGCUGGACUGAGACCGAUCUUAUCACCUUUUAGGCACAGCAAGACACAUAUCUUCAUGCAAGCAUUUCCCUGAUGGCUAGAAAGCUUAACGUUGAAGAAAUGCCUAUUCUUACUGAAUACCUUGCAGAGAUUGUUCAAGAACUGCAUUUGGCUUACCACUUUGUUGUCAGAAAGCUGAUGCCUCAGUUUCCCUUCACUGGCUGCAAUUACCCUCCAAUGCAGGACUACUGCUCCGAUGAAUUUAAGUCCAUCAAAACAGGAC
Trachemys scripta elegans is the source of this 355-nucleotide long non-coding RNA. RefSeq lists it as uncharacterized. Lineage: Eukaryota; Metazoa; Chordata; Testudines; Emydidae. The transcript is spliced from 3 exons. The record is from RefSeq and is a predicted model, not a curated record.